GUGUCAGCAGCCGCGGUAAUACGUAGGUGGCCAGCGUUAUCCGGAAUCAUUGGGCGUAAAGCGCGUGCAGGUGGUUCCGUUAGUCGGACGUGAAAUCUCCUGGCUUAACUGGGAGGGGCCGUUCGAUACUGCGGAGCUUGAGGUCGGGAGAGGGACGUGGAAUUCCCGGUGUAGUGGUGGAAUGCGUAGAUAUCGGGAGGAACACCAGUGGCGAAGGCGGCGUCCUGGCCCGCACCUGACACUCAGACGCGAAAGCGUGGGGAGCGAACGGGAUUAGAUACCCGGGUAGUCC
RNAcentral lists this ribosomal RNA (292 nucleotides) under uncultured bacterium. Its description in RNAcentral is "partial 16S ribosomal RNA". It matches the Rfam family "Bacterial small subunit ribosomal RNA", at positions 505 to 796 of the family's 1533-position model. The record is from RNAcentral.